This 2149-nucleotide long non-coding RNA is filed under the name Triticum aestivum (bread wheat). Its description in RNAcentral is "long non-coding RNA (TAES_LNC009882)". Lineage: Eukaryota; Viridiplantae; Streptophyta; Magnoliopsida; Poales; Poaceae. The record is from RNAcentral.
AGUGCUCUCGUUGAUUGCUUCAGUUUCCUUGGCUUCAGUGUCCUUCACCGCUUCUGCCGGCAUGUCACUCACUGAUGUGUUUUCUUCCACCUCAACAGGUUCAACAUUCUCAAUCUCUUCUAGUUCUGGCUCUUGUGCUCGCGGAAUAUCAACCGUUGCCUCAGUUGCUGUUACAUGCUCUUCAGGAGCUGCCUCGUCUACAUGAGUAACAUUGCUUGUCACAUCGCCAGUGAGCUCGCUGAUGUUUGCAUCAGUGCUCUCGUUAAUUGCUUCAGUUUCCUUCACCUCUUCCGCUGGCAGGUCACAUGCUGAUCUGUUUUCUUUCACCUCAUCAGGUUCAACUCUCAUGAGCUCUUGUAGUUCUGAUACUAGUGCUUGUGGUAUAUCAACUGCUGCCUCAGCUGCUAUUACAUGCUCUUCUGGAGCUGCCUCAUCUGCACGAGUAACAUUACUUUUCACAUCCUCAGUGAGUUCACUGAUGUUUGCAUCAGCGCUCUCGGUUAUUGCUUCUGUUUCUUUGGCUUCAGGGUCCUUCACCUCUUCUGCCGGCUGAUCACUUACUGAUAUGUUUUCUUCCACUUCAACAGUUUCAGUAUUCUUGAUUUCUUCUAGUUCUGGAUCUUGUGCUUGUGGUAUGUCAACUGUUGCCUCAGUUGCUAUCACAUGUUCUUCAGGAGCUGCCUCGUCUGCAGGAGCAACAUUAGUUUUGACAUCCUCAGUGAGCUCACUGAUGUUCGCAUCAGUGCUCUCAUUGAUUGCUUCAGUGUCUUUCACCUUUUCUGCCUGCAUGUCACUUGCUGACAUGUUUUCUUCCACAUCAACAGGUUCAGUAUUCUUGAUCUCUUCUAGUUCCGGCUCCUGUGGUUGUGGUAUAUCAACUGCUGUCUCAGCUACUGUUACAUGCUCUUCAUGAGGUUCCUCGUCUGCAAGAGCAACAUUGCAUUUCACCUCCUCUGUGAGCUCGCUGAUGUUUGCAUCAGCACUCUCGUUGAUUGCUUCAGUGUCCUUCACCUCUUCUGCUGGCAGGUCACUUGCUGAUAUGUUCUCUUCUACUUCAACAGGUUCAGUAUUCUUCAUCUCUUCUACUUCUGGCUCUUGUGCUUGUGGCAUAUCAACUGUAUUAUCAGCUACUGUUACUUGUUCUUCUUGAGCGGCCUCGCCUGGAAGAGCAACAUUGUUUUUCACAUCUUCAGGGAGCUCACUGUUGUUUGCAUCAGUGCUCUCGUUGAUUGCUUCAGUCUCCACGGCUUCAGUAUCCUUCACCUCUUCUGCUGGCAGAUCAUUUGCUGAUAUGUUUUCUUCUACUUCAGCAGGUUCAGUACUCUUGGUCUCUUCUAGUUCUGGCUCUUGUGCUUCUGGUAUAUCAACCGUUGCCUCAGUUGCUAUUACAUGCUCUUCAGGAGCUGCCUCGUCCGCAGGAGCAACAUUGCUUGUCACAUCCUCAGUGAGCUCGCUAAUGUUUGCAUCAGGGCUCUCAUUGAUUGCUUCAGUUUCCCUCACCUCUUCUGCUUGCAGGUAACGUGCUGAUCUAUUUUCUUCCACCUCAACAGGUUCAGUAUUCUUGAUCUCUUCUAGUUCUGGCUCCUGGGUUUGUGGUAUGUCAACUGUUCUCUCAGCUACUGUUACCUGCUCUGCAUGAGGUUCCUCGUCUGCAAGAGCAACAUUGCUUUUUACAUCCUCAUUGAGCUCGCUGAUGAUUGCAUCAGUCCUUUCGCUGAUUGCUUCAGUUUCCUUGGGUUCAAUUUCCUUGACCUCUUCUGCUGACAGGUCACCGGCUUCAGUAUUCUUGAUCUCUUCUAGCUCCGGCUCUUGUGCUUGUGGUAUAUCGACUGUUGUCUCAGCUACUGUUACAUGUUCUUCAUGAGCUGCCUCAUCUAUAAGAGCAACAUUCCUUUUCAUAUCUUCAGUGAGCUCACUGAUGUUUGCAUCAGUGCUCUUGUUGAUUGCUUCAGUUUCCUUGGGUUCAGUGUCCUUCAGCUCUUCUGCCGGCAUGUCAUUAGCUGAUGUGUUUUCUUCCACCUCAACAGGUUCAACAUUCUCAAUCUCUUCUAGUUCUGGCUCUUGUGCUCGCGGAAUAUCAACCGUUGCCUCAGUUGCUGUUACAUGCUCUUCAGGAGCUGCCUCGUCUACAUGAGUAACAUUGCUUGUC